ACGUAAAAAUUUAUUUGAUUUUUAAUAGUUGUGUAGUCUUCCUCUGGAUGGCUCAGUAUUAGAGUAAAUGUAGUGCACAUUGUGGUCACCAUCUCACUAUAUAAUGUUGUGCUUGUGAUGUAUGCUGCUGCUGCACUAGUUGACCUCACCACUAAUAGAAUGAACAUUAUUGCAUGUGACAGGCACAGUUGUGGGCAGUACCUUCGGCUGGCCAGUGGUAGGAGGUGGCACCGACUUCGACGUCAAUCCUUUUGCUGACUUUGGCGUGUCAGGCACCCCUACUCCUUCCCUUCCCUCUCAGGGUGGUGUCAGUUCUCAGGACACCACCACCACUACCAGUGGCGCAGCUGAUCUCUUGGGUGGCUUGGACCCCCUGGCAGAUGUUGGCGGCAGUGGUCCGCCUUCCCAGGCACCCACCAUGCCACCCGCUCAGACCCAAGCAUUUGAUGGAUUUGGGGACAUUCUGAAACCUGAGGGAAGUGUUGGUGGUAGUCCAGCAGCUACUGUUGUUGGUGUAGCAACCACUGUACCAUCUUCGCAGCCUGGCAAACUCAUCAGCAGUGAUUUAGAUAUGUCCUUAUCAUCUCUGGUUGACAACCUCAACAUUAAGGGCCCUUCAGCACAAAAGUGAGUCAGAGAGUAUUUGAAUUAUGAGUUAUGUGAAGAACCCCACCAAGUAGUAAUAUUUUUAGCAGGAACUUUUUUGGGUGUAUUUAGGCAAAGUUAGUGUCAUAUUAAACUACUUGAAUAAAUGUUACACUUUAAUAACUGGAAAUAAUUGGUCACAGAGUAGAAAAUAUUUUUCCCUCAGCUUUUUUAUACAUAUCACUUUCAAAGUCAUACAUUAUUUUAUAAUGAACACUAUUAUCCUUUGUGUGCACAUUACUGGUUUUCUUUACAUCAUAGUGUGCGCUGAUGAAUCAUGUGGAUAAUUAACAUGUCUCCAUAUACACUGCCUUUCCAAAUACAGCAGGGCCCCACUUUACGGCGUUUCACUUUACGGCGUUCCGCUAAUAUGGUCAUUUCAAAUUAUGACCAAAACUAGCUAUACGGCUCCCCCCACCUGACUUUCUAAUACGGUCACCGUGCCCCACCCUGUUUGUUUACAUUCUUCGUGAGCUCAGUAAGCACUAAGUCUCUCCAUUUUGUCUGGAAACUCCAAAAUUUCAAACGUUUUUAAAAGUUAUUUCAUAUUUUAUAUAUACUUUGCUAAUUAUACUUAUGUAUACCUGUACUUAAAUAAACUUACUUACUGUGCUGGCAUGCAGGUACACAUUAAAAUCAGUAAGAGUGUCUUAUGUCUCCAGACGUCAUAUUAGUAAUGAUGAUAAUAAUCACCGAGUCUCAUUUAAAUGUCGUAUAUUACGUUAAAUACACAUCUUCAUUAAUCCAUCUAUGAUAUUUUUUCAAAAUUAUAUAAUAAACACGAUACAUAACAUAAGAUGAUAA
Molecule: non-coding RNA, 1449 nt
Organism: Cherax quadricarinatus
Lineage: Eukaryota; Metazoa; Arthropoda; Malacostraca; Decapoda; Parastacidae
Source: RefSeq, a predicted model, not a curated record